RNAcentral lists this ribosomal RNA (492 nucleotides) under uncultured bacterium. Its description in RNAcentral is "bacterial SSU rRNA". It matches the Rfam family "Bacterial small subunit ribosomal RNA", at positions 23 to 518 of the family's 1533-position model. The record is from RNAcentral.
GUCAGGAUGAACGCUGGCGGCGUGCCUAACACAUGCAAGUCGAACGGAGUUAUAGCCGGAAGUUUCGGAUGGAAAGCUAUAAACUUAGUGGCGGACGGGUGAGUAACGCGUGGGCAACCUGCCCUGUACCGGGGGAUAACACUUAGAAAUAGGUGCUAAUACCGCAUAAGCGCACAGCUGCGCAUGCAGCAGUGUGAAAAACUCCGGUGGUACAGGAUGGACCCGCGUCUGAUUAGCUAGUUGGUGGGGUAGAGGCCCACCAAGGCGACGAUCAGUAGCCGGCCUGAGAGGGUGACCGGCCACAUUGGGACUGAGACACGGCCCAAACUCCUACGGGAGGCAGCAGUGGGGAAUAUUGCACAAUGGGGGAAACCCUGAUGCAGCGACGCCGCGUGAGUGAAGAAGUAUUUCGGUACGUAAAGCUCUAUCAGCAGGGAAGAAAAUGACGGUACCUGACUAAGAAGCCCCGGCUAACUACGUGCCAGCCGCAGC